This 484-nucleotide long non-coding RNA is filed under the name Cicer arietinum (chickpea). RNAcentral describes it as "long non-coding RNA (CARI_LNC001856)". Lineage: Eukaryota; Viridiplantae; Streptophyta; Magnoliopsida; Fabales; Fabaceae. The record is from RNAcentral.
GACUUUCUAACAAACACCAUGUGUGCAAACAUAAAACAACCUAAACUAGAGCACAAAAUUCAAAGCCAAAAAACCACAAAAACACCAUCAAACAUAACAACAUAAAAUCUUCAAACAUAAGGUUUUAAAGUCUACAAAACACAAAUAUGUCAUAGUGGUUUUGGUGGUGGCCGAAACAAGUUUUGGUUUAGUGUGGGAGCAGCCAUGGAAGUGAGAUGUUGAGAAGGUGAAUCUAGUGGGGGGUCGUUUCCUCUAAGAAGACGCUUUAAAAAAUUUGGGUGAAAGUUUGAUAAGUGUGAAUGUGGUGGCUCUUUGUCAGGGACCUUCUAGAAGUUGUUUCAAUUUUCUUAUCAUUCUCAUUACCUUCAGUGUUCAAAAUAUUUUGUUGAUUAACUUUUGUACUAACAAAUUGACGUGUUUGAUUUUCAUUGAUUCAUGAAACCAUUAUGAAUAGUGUUGGCGCAAUGUAAGUGUUGCAUCCUUG